GUGGGAUUAGCUCAGUCAGUAGAGCACUAGACUCUUAAUCUCAAGGUCGUGGGUUUGAGCCCCACAUUGGGCA
This 73-nucleotide transfer RNA is filed under the name Podarcis lilfordi (Lilford's wall lizard). It matches the Rfam family "tRNA". From Rfam's summary of the family: Transfer RNA (tRNA) molecules are approximately 80 nucleotides in length. Their secondary structure includes four short double-helical elements and three loops (D, anti-codon, and T loops). The record is from Rfam by way of RNAcentral. Lineage: Eukaryota; Metazoa; Chordata; Lepidosauria; Squamata; Lacertidae.